This 995-nucleotide long non-coding RNA is filed under the name Capsicum annuum. RNAcentral's name for it is "long non-coding RNA (CANN_LNC021407)". Lineage: Eukaryota; Viridiplantae; Streptophyta; Magnoliopsida; Solanales; Solanaceae. The record is from RNAcentral.
UCGUCCAUAUUAUUACAAAUCUCCACCACCGCCUUCUCCAUCUCCUCGGACACCUUAUUACCGUAAAUCACCACCACCACCACCAAUUCGUUCUCCUCGUCCCUAUUAUUACAAAUCUCCACCACCACCUUCUCCAUCUCCUCGAACACCUUAUUACCGUAAAUCACCACCACCACCGCCACUAAUUCGUUCUCCUCAUCCAUAUUAUUAUAAAUCUCCACCACCGCCUUCUCCAUCUCCCCCGCCACCUUAUUUCCCUAAAUCACCACCACCACCAAUCCAUUCUCCUCAUCCAUAUAAGUCUCCACCACCACCUUCUCCAUCUCCACCUCCACCUUAUUACACUACAUCACCACCACUACCAAUCAUUUCUCCUCCACCGCCAUAUUAUCACAAAUCUCCACCACCGCCUUCUCCAUCUGCACCGCCUCCAUCUCCAUCUUCAUUGCCGUCACCUUCGAUUACACCUAUCGCUGAACCAUUUCCAUCUCCGAUGGUGCCACCACCAUUGACUACACCUAUUUCUGAACCAUCUCCAUCUCCAUCUCCAUCUCCAUCUCCAUCUCCAUCUCCAUCUCCAUCUCCAUCCCUGCUAGCACCGUCGAUUACACCUAUCGCUGAACCAUUCCCAUCUCCAUUUCCGCUAGCACCAUCGACAACCCCUAUUGUUGAACCCUUUCCAUCUCCAUUGCCGCCAAUUGCUGAACCAUUUCCGUCACUAUCGCCUUCACCAUCACCAAUUACACCUAUCGCUGAACCAUUCCCAUCUCCAUUUUCUCUAGCACCAUCGACAACCCCUAUUGUUGAACCCUUUCCAUCUCCAUUGCCACCAAUUGCUGAACCAUUUCCAUCACUAUCGCCUCUACCAUCACCAAUUACACCUAUCGCUGAACCAUUCCCAUCUCCAUUUCCGCUAGCACCAUCGACAACCCCUAUUGUUGAACCCUUUCCAUCUCCAUUGCCACCAAUUGCUGGACCAUUUCCAUCGCUAUCGC